GACGAACGCUGGCGGCGUGCUUAACACAUGCAAGUCGAACGGAAAGGCCCCCUUUUGGGGUACUCGAGUGGCGAACGGGUGGGUAACACGUGAGUAACCUACCCUUGACUUUGGGAUAACUUCAGGAAACUGGGGCUAAUACCGGAUAGGAGCUCCUGCUGCAUGGGGGGGGUUGGAAAGUUUCGGCGGUUGGGGUUGGACUCGCGGCUUAUCAGCUUGUUGGUGGGGUAGUGGCUCACCAAGGCUUUGACGGGUAGCCGGCCUGGGAGGGUGACCGGCCACAUUGGGACUGAGAUACGGCCCAGACUCCUACGGGAGGCAGCAGUGGGGAAUAUUGCACAAUGGGCGGAAGCCUGAUGCAGCAACGCCGCGUGCGGGAUGACGGCCUUCGGGUUGUAAACCGCUUUCGCCUGUGACGAAGCGUGAGUGACGGUAAUGGGUAAAGAAGCACCGGCUAACUACGUG
This 465-nucleotide ribosomal RNA is filed under the name uncultured bacterium. RNAcentral describes it as "partial 16S ribosomal RNA". It matches the Rfam family "Bacterial small subunit ribosomal RNA", at positions 28 to 507 of the family's 1533-position model. The record is from RNAcentral.